Suricata suricatta (meerkat) is the source of this 428-nucleotide long non-coding RNA. RefSeq lists it as uncharacterized. The transcript has 3 exons. The record is from RefSeq and is a predicted model, not a curated record. Lineage: Eukaryota; Metazoa; Chordata; Mammalia; Carnivora; Herpestidae.
UGUGGUCUUGUCUUAACACUCUGUGUCUUACUACCAUGUACAAAGGCACGAGAUUGUUGGACUGAGUGCCUCAGUUCCCUGCUGUCUGUCACCCAGGGAACACCCUCAGUUCCUCAGACUUGGAGCCCUUCACAAUCACCACUUGCCUCAUGGAAGCAUGCAGGCCAAGGAGGCACCAGAUGCAUGCCUUUCACAGCCUUGAACGUACGAAGUUCCGUCAAGCCUCUGGGCUCAUCCAUGUGGAAUUUCCCAUGCACCAUCACCUGGUGGUCUCCGCCUCAUCCACUCUUCAGCUAAGUGGUAGUUUAAGGGUCACCUCCUGAAGCCUCCUCUGAUCCCUGACCUAAUCCCUGGUUCUCUUCUCCAGUGCCCAACCCAGUUCCGGGCACCCAGGAGGAACUCAGUGAAUGUUUGUCUAUGAAUAAAUG